AUUAAAUACUUUCGUCGUCGUCACCAUCGUCAAUCGACAUCACCAACUCCACCAGGGACACCUGAGAUUGUUUCGAACAAGCUUGAAAUGAUUGAUGAUGAUAGUGAAGAAGACAUAGAGAGAGAAGAGAAGGUUCAUUUACAAGAAAAAAAGGUUGAUAAGCAAGAAAAGAAGAUUCACGAGAAUAUAAAGCCAAUAGAAGAAACAAAUAGCCCAAGUAGCAGUGGUAAUGGAGUGCAUUGGGAUGAAAGUCUCAAGGGUAAACAUGUUUAACAAUAUUCAUG
This is a long non-coding RNA of Vigna unguiculata (cowpea), 284 nucleotides long. NCBI's taxonomy places the organism in Eukaryota, Viridiplantae, Streptophyta, Magnoliopsida, Fabales, Fabaceae. The record is from RefSeq and is a predicted model, not a curated record.